AAAUUUAUAGAAGAUAAGCAAGAUAUCUUAUCUCGAUGUAUAAAAUAUAUUUAUUUAUAGAAUAAUUUAAUUAAUAAUUUAAUUAAUAAAAAGAUGAUUAAACGGAGGCAAUAUUGGAAGAUAUAUACCUAACCUACUUAAUUAUUUGCACAAAGAAAGUCAAGCACAUGAGAUUUUUUUUAAACAAGUAAUUAAAAUAUCUGGUUACUAAUCUUUUAAGGAUCUUCAGUUUUAAAUCUCAGAGGAGGAUUUCUCGACUUUACAUUUGAAAAAAGAAAUUGUUGAACUAACAAUUCCGAUAGUCCUGUUUAAAAAGAGGUAAAUGAAUGGAUGACACAAUAUGUAUUAUAAAGCGCAAUGAAAUUCUGUAUUAUACAACAUAUAUAAUAAAAUAAUACCAAAAGUUA
Molecule: long non-coding RNA, 407 nt
Organism: Apis mellifera (honey bee)
Lineage: Eukaryota; Metazoa; Arthropoda; Insecta; Hymenoptera; Apidae
Exons: 3
Source: RefSeq, a predicted model, not a curated record